GGGACACGUGGUAUCCUGUCUGAAUAUGGGGGGACCAUCCUCCAAGGCUAAAUACUCCUGACUGACCGAUAGUGAACCAGUACCGUGAGGGAAAGGCGAAAAGAACCCCGGCGAGGGGAGUGAAAAAGAACCUGAAACCGUGUACGUACAAGCAGUGGGAGCACGCUUAGGCGUGUGACUGCGUACCUUUUGUAUAAUGGGUCAGCGACUUAUAUUCUGUAGCAAGGUUAACCGAAUAGGGGAGCCGAAGGGAAACCGAGUCUUAACUGGGCGUUAAGUUGCAGGGUAUAGACCCGAAACCCGGUGAUCUAGCCAUGGGCAGGUUGAAGGUUGGGUAACACUAACUGGAGGACCGAACCGACUAAUGUUGAAAAAUUAGCGGAUGACUUGUGGCUGGGGGUGAAAGGCCAAUCAAACCGGGAGAUAGCUGGUUCUCCCCGAAAGCUAUUUAGGUAGCGCCUCGUGAAUUCAUCUCCGGGGGUAGAGCACUGUUUCGGCAAGGGGGUCAUCCCGACUUACCAACCCGAUGCAAACUGCGAAUACCGGAGAAUGUUAUCACGGGAGACACACGGCGGGUGCUAACGUCCGUCGUGAAGAGGGAAACAACCCAGACCGCCAGCUAAGGUCCCAAAGUCAUGGUUAAGUGGGAAACGAUGUGGGAAGGCCCAGACAGCCAGGAUGUUGGCUUAGAAGCAGCCAUCAUUUAAAGAAAGCGUAAUAGCUCACUGGUCGAGUCGGCCUGCGCGGAAGAUGUAACGGGGCUAAACCAUGCACCGAAGCUGCGGCAGCGACACUAUGUGUUGUUGGGUAGGGGAGCGUUCUGUAAGCCUGUGAAGGUGUGCUGUGAGGCAUGCUGGAGGUAUCAGAAGUGCGAAUGCUGACAUAAGUAACGAUAAAGCGGGUGAAAAGCCCGCUCGCCGGAAGACCAAGGGUUCCUGUCCAACGUUAAUCGGGGCAGGGUGAGUCGACCCCUAAGGCGAGGCCGAAAGGCGUAGUCGAUGGGAAACAGGUUAAUAUUCCUGUACUUGGUGUUA
This 1034-nucleotide ribosomal RNA is filed under the name Escherichia coli. Its description in RNAcentral is "partial 23S ribosomal RNA". It matches the Rfam family "Bacterial large subunit ribosomal RNA", at positions 419 to 1453 of the family's 2925-position model. Lineage: Bacteria; Pseudomonadati; Pseudomonadota; Gammaproteobacteria; Enterobacterales; Enterobacteriaceae. The record is from RNAcentral.